AAUCCCAGCAGGGGAUUGAAAUCCCGGCAGGGGAUUGAAAUCCCGGCAGAUGAUUGAAGUCCCGACAGAGCAUUGAAAUCACAGUGGAGCAUUGAAAUCCCGACAGAGGAUUGAAAUCCCGGCAGGGGAUUGAAAUCCCGGCAGAGCAGUGAAAUCCCGACAGAGCAGUGAAAUCACAGUGGAGCAUUGAAAUCAUGUCAGAGCAUUGGAGUCAUGCCAGAGCAUUGAAAUCGUGCCAGAGCAUUGGAGUCACGGACGGUGGCAGAGCAUAGGAAUCACGGACGGUGGCAGAGCAUUGAAAUCACGGACGGCGGCAGAGCAUAGGGAUCACGGACGGUGGCAGAGCAUUGGGAUCACGGACGGCGGCAGAGCAUUGGGAUCACGGACGGCGGCAGAGCAUUGGGAUCACGGACGGUGCACUCCUUUGUAUGCAUCCUUUGCUGCUUCCCAUCCAAGCAUUCCUUCGCUGCUUCCCAUCCAAGCAUUCCUUUGCUGCUUCCCAUCCAAGCUUGAGCACUCUGCGCGGAGCAUGGAAGACCCGGGGGGUGCAACCAACUUUCGCGGCUUACGAUUAAAUAGUAACCCUCUGCGCGGAGCAUGGAGGACCCGGGGGUGCAACCAACUUUCGCGGCUUACGAUUAAAUAGUAACCCUCUGCGCGGAGCAUGGAAGACCCGGGGGGUGCAACCAA
This 690-nucleotide long non-coding RNA is filed under the name Salvia miltiorrhiza (redroot sage). RNAcentral describes it as "long non-coding RNA (SMIL_LNC011262)". Lineage: Eukaryota; Viridiplantae; Streptophyta; Magnoliopsida; Lamiales; Lamiaceae. The record is from RNAcentral.